Molecule: ribosomal RNA, 354 nt
Filed under: uncultured bacterium
Lineage: Bacteria
Description: bacterial SSU rRNA
Rfam family: Bacterial small subunit ribosomal RNA
Source: RNAcentral
AGAGUUUGAUCCUGGCUCAGGAUGAACGCUAGCUACAGGCUUAACACAUGCAAGUCGAGGGGAAACGACAUCGAAAGCUUGCUUUUGAUGGGCGUCGACCGGCGCACGGGUGAGUAACGCGUAUCCAACCUGCCCAUCACUUGGGGAUAACCUUGCGAAAGUAAGACUAAUACCCAAUGACGUCUCUAGAAGACAUCUGAAAGAGAUUAAAGAUUUAUCGGUGAUGGAUGGGGAUGCGUCUGAUUAGCUUGUUGGCGGGGUAACGGCCCACCAAGGCGACGAUCGAGUAGGGGUUCUGAGGAGGAAGGUCCCCCANAUUGGAACUGAGACACGGUCCAAACUCCUACGGGAGCA